GCCUGCGGCCACACCACCUUGAAUAAGCCUGAUCUCGUCUGAUCUCAGAAGCUACGCAAUGUUGGGCUAGGUUAGUACUUGGAUGGGAGACCACCUGGGAAUAUCAAGUGCUGUAGGCAUU
Molecule: ribosomal RNA, 121 nt
Filed under: Acipenser gueldenstaedtii (Russian sturgeon)
Lineage: Eukaryota; Metazoa; Chordata; Actinopteri; Acipenseriformes; Acipenseridae
Source: RNAcentral